UCCAGCCCCGGGAGUCAAAACGCCAUCUGUUGAUGGGGCCCCGCCAAAGCUGACAUAGACAGGUCCAGCCUCCAGGUGCCCCCACACCGUUUUCUUGCAUUAUGAAGCUGAGCGGCUUCUUUCUACUCUCUGUGAACAUCCUCCUUUGCCUCUGAAUGACCCAGCCUGGAGUCUUGAGGAGUGCAGCUGCACGGAAACCGGGAUAUUGCCCAGAGUUUGAUCUUGACUGCCCUUUCACUCUCUUACCUAUGCGCUGGCGUGAUAAGAGUUGCAGGGGGUCAAGAAGUGUUGCUACUACAACUGUCGGCAUCAGUGUAUGGAGCCCUGGUGGACUUUGGAUUGAGGCAAAACGCAGGCUGACAGUGAUGAAGCUGAUGUUCGUAACACUGCAGAAAAAGUGCUGAUAGAUGACAUGGUGAAAAAGUGUGAUGGGCUUAUUGAAGGACUGAAGCAGCCUGUAUUCAUACCAAAACAAGAAAUCAUGUAAGUUUAAAAAUCAACAAGAAAUUUCUAAGACAAAAAACAUUGUUAAUGAGAGAGAUGACUCUGGAGAAAACAUUUUUAAAAGUCAUCCAGCAGAAUGCCUCCUCAUCUCUAGAGGAUCCACUUCCUGGUCCCUCAAUUGCUUGUGAUGUCUCUUUUCACCUACAAAAAUAAAAUACAGUGACCAAUAAUCGUUUAAUCAAAACACAGCAUCGUAGAUGGAGACUGAAAUCCUGCUGCUGUUGCUUCUUGCUGUUGUUUAACAGCUGGGGCAGGUAUUUUGGUGAUGCUACUGUGCUGCUUAGUUACCCUGAACACAUUAUUUUCACAGUAUUAAUGGUAUGUCGUAUUUUUAUUGUUAAAUAUUUAUGGGUGAAUAAGUGUAAUAAAAUGAUUGCUUAUUGGUAGCAUAUAAAUUCGAGUCAGAUACAAUGGUGAUACUAAACAAUCACAGAUUGUCCACAUGGGCGGCUGAGAUAGGGACAACUUUCUUUCUGAUGUUUCAGUGUAUACAAACUUUGUUUCAUGCAGGAAACCGGUAAAAAUAUUGCAUAAAAUUACCUUCAGCCUAUGUGUAUAAGGUAUAUGUGAAACACAGAUAAUGUUUACACUUGCCUCUCAUCCCUAAGAUAUCUCAUUAUUUAUAUGCAAAGAUUACAAAAUGUGAAAAUAUCCAAAAUUUGAAAAAUUUCUGGUCCUAAGAAUUUUGAAUAAUGGAUUCUUAAACUUAUUCUCCCUCCUUUUAUGAAGGAGCAGAUUUUACUCCACCGUUGUGAAAGUAGUUCCCUCUGCUGUAUGGUUUUUGUAUAGGCUUGCCAUCAAAUAAGUGAACUUCUAAUGUUCUGUCAUUAUUUUCUCAUUUAUCAUGAAGAGAUAAGUGACUCUUUCACACAUUCUAUAGCCAAUACGAAGAUAAUCAUAACAUUUUCCCCUGUACUCCAUUAAUGAGAAGUAUCCCAUUGAUUUACUUUUAAAUGUUACACCAAUCAUAAAUUGUUGACAUAAAACCUUACUUGUGUAUGAUGUUUCAUCAUUUUUAUAUAUGACCAAAUUCCCUGUGUAAAGUUUUGUUUAGGAUUUUUGCCUUUAUGUUUAUAGCAAGGCUGGAAAAUUGUUUUCCUUUCAUGUAAUAUCCUUCUCAUGUUUCGGUAUCACAGAAUUGCAGUGCAUAUCAAAUUAGUUUGGAAACAGAAAGGUCAGUGUGUGGGGUUGCAAACAAACAUCUUGAAAAUAUGAGUGCAGACACUUUAAAUAUUUAAAGUACAGACACUUUAAAUAUGAGUGCAGGCACUUGAAAAUAUGAGUGCAGGCAUAUUAAAUCAGUUGGGAGGGAUUUUGUUUUUGUAAAUUUGGACUGAAACUCAGUGAGGACAUGCCAAUUCAGAGUUAGAAGAAAACAGCAGAUUUACACAGGGAAAACACUCAACGUGUGGAGGUAGCCCCAAGUUUGUGCUAGAAAGAAAGGUCGGUGUUGGUAAAUAGAGCAGCUACUCCAGAGAGCUUUCCCUCAUCAUCUCUCUGCCUCCCACAUCAGGUCCCAAUUCUUCUGUGUGCAUUAAUAAAUCUACUUCUUACUAUUGCUGAAGUCAGAUAUGUUUUUAGCUACCAAGCAAGCAGGAGGAACAUCCAUUUUUAGAAUAGUGUAGAGAGGACAUGAAGGUUUAUCUGGCCCAGAUUCACAUUCCAAAAUGACUUCAAGUUAGUCUUUUGAAUCCAUCAACUAAUGAAGUUUUUACACAGUCAUGAAGACAUAAAAGCAGGAAUUAAGGAAAAAAGCAUUCAUUAUAAAACUUAAAUUUCAGUCCCAUGGUGCACCAUGAAUUGACACCAUCAUGAAAGCAUUUGAAACUAUAAAACUCACUGAUAGAACCAAAACACAAGGAAGAAAGAGAAAGGAAUCAAACCUUAUUAUUACAGAAAACCACCCAACCACAAAAAUAAACAAUAAGAAGGGAAGUAAAGAGCAAAGGAUAUACAAAAACAACCAGGAAACAAUCAAUCAAAUGAUAGGAGUAAGUACUCACCUGUCAGUAAUAACCCUGAAUAUAAACAGAUUAAAUUCCCCAUUUUAAAAAUAUAGACUGGCUAAAAGGAUUAAAAAACAAGACCCAACUAUAUAGU
This 2604-nucleotide long non-coding RNA is filed under the name Homo sapiens (human). RNAcentral's name for it is "HSALNT0401255". Lineage: Eukaryota; Metazoa; Chordata; Mammalia; Primates; Hominidae. The record is from RNAcentral.